ACAAGUCAGAGACUACAGAAAAUAAAUGGAAAAGAAAAGGAAAAGAAAAGGAAAUCCAUAGCCUCAGCUUUGCCUCAGCUUCGUCGCCGCUCAGCCUCAGCUUCGUCGCUGACGGCGCGCCUCCGCCGAUUCGACCACAACUCCAACUCGCCCUCUGACUCGCUCGCACGUCCGCAUCGCGCCUCCGUCAGGCGUCUGGGCCGUGGCGGCAACUGAGGCCGGCCCGCCGCGUGCGCCCUGCCGCCAUCCGCGUCGUGGCGGCGACUGCGGCCGGGCCGCCGCGCGCGCCUUCGCUCCCACAGCGAAUCGACCGCACAGCCAGGCACCACUUCGUCGAGCUCCGCCCAGCUCAUCCCGUCGGCAGCUCGCCGAUGGAUGUUCCGCUCAUCGCCGCAAUCGGCCAGGUGGGGGCAUGUCGGCUUGCUCCGCCCAGCUCCGGUGACCCCAGCUAGCACGUUGCUCCGAGGCCCCUCAUUGAUCCCCGUGGAGGCGGUGAGCGUGCUGAAGCUAAAGCUGGAGGAGGACAUCGACUGCGUCAUGAACCCUAUCCUCUUCGGCUCUCCUUCGUUCCCGUCGGCGGAGCCAGAGGCUCAGACCUGGUCUUCCCCGAAUCCACAGCUGCGAGCCUCCUCGAGCGGCCCAAGUACGGCACGCUCCCGGAUUUGAUGGUCGACGCCCUUCCCCACCUCACCCGCGACUGGUCACUGGCUAUAGCUGUUGAGGAGUUGGAGAGGACAGAAUUAUAUGGAGAGAAAUUGCAUAUAUUCAGAAAAGCCUUCCUGUUCUAUAACAUAGGUGUUUCAGCAAAUGCAUGUCAACCCUAUUUUAGUCACUCGGAAAAGCACAAUGAAUCUUUUCCAUGAAAGUAGAUUCAAAGGCUAUUCUAACAAGUGGGAUUACGUACCUUCACUAAACCUGAUGAUCCCAACAGAGGCCAUAAACCUGAUGAGAAAUACUCCCUGAUCACACACAAGAUAUUAAAACAGUCUUUGUGCGGAUGUACUCCUCUACCGGAGUUGCAGCCAAACCUGAAAUCCACACGGAGCCAUAAUAGAACAGAGCAACAAGAAUUCCAGGAGAUCUCUAGAGGAAAAAUAUUUUUAGGUACCCUUUAUAUGUUUGCACCAUUAAUCGCCCAGCCAUGCUUCAAGAGAUUCUCUGAUCACAGUUUGGUGCGAGAUCUAUAGAUUUCAAGAUUUUACCUUUCAUGUAAUUUUAUUUCCUUUAUGAUGCCCUCGAAUUAUGGGCGGUGAUGGUGAUGGAAUGUAAUCUCUGUAUUUCUUGCGUGUAUGGUGCAGUGAUGGUGGACAACAUUUAUUUCCUUUCCUGUAAUUUUAUUUC
This is a long non-coding RNA of Lolium perenne, 1341 nucleotides long. RefSeq lists it as uncharacterized. The record is from RefSeq and is a predicted model, not a curated record. Lineage: Eukaryota; Viridiplantae; Streptophyta; Magnoliopsida; Poales; Poaceae.